UACGUAGGAUGCGAGCGUUAUCCGGAUUUAUUGGGUUUAAAGGGUGCGUAGGCGGACUGUCAAGUCAGCGGUAAAAUUGAGAGGCUCAACCUCUUCCCGCCGUUGAAACUGGUGGUCUUGAGUGGAUGAGAAGUACGCGGAAUGCGUGGUGUAGCGUUGAAAUGCAUAGAUAUCACGCAGAACUCCGAUUGCGAAGGCAGCGUACCGGCAUCCAACUGACGCUGAGGCACGAAAGCGUGGGGAUCAAACAGG
This 252-nucleotide ribosomal RNA is filed under the name uncultured bacterium. RNAcentral describes it as "partial 16S ribosomal RNA". It matches the Rfam family "Bacterial small subunit ribosomal RNA", at positions 524 to 776 of the family's 1533-position model. The record is from RNAcentral.